This is a non-coding RNA of Streptococcus henryi, 182 nucleotides long. Lineage: Bacteria; Bacillati; Bacillota; Bacilli; Lactobacillales; Streptococcaceae. The record is from Rfam.
AAAACCUUUAAUUUGGUCCAGAGAGGCUGCAAAGGUUACAAGAAGCAACCGACAGGAUUUUUUCUGCCUUUGAUUUACAUAAAUGACUUCUAGAAUUGCAAAAAUUUAGUGCAUUUAGGUAAAUGGUGGAUUUAUCCGUCCAUUUCAUGUGACCUUACCCUCUGGGUAAGGUUUUUUUGUCA